GAUAACGCUGGCGGUGUGCUUUAUGCAUGCAAGUCGAACGGGUUCCGCAAGGAAUCAGUGGCAGACGGGUGAGCAACACGUAAGCGACCUGCCCUAAAGUGGGGAACAACUCCUAGAAAUGGGAGCUAAUACCGCAUGUGAUCCUUGUUUAAAUUAUAAGGAUUAAAGCCGUAAGGCGCUUUUGGAGGGGCUUGCGUCCGAUUAGCUAGUUGGUGGGGUAACGGCCUACCAAGGCGACGAUCGGUAGCUGGUUUGAGAGGACGACCAGCCACACGGGGGACUGAGACACGGCCCCGACUCCUACGGGAGGCAG
This 313-nucleotide ribosomal RNA is filed under the name uncultured Pseudomonadota bacterium. RNAcentral describes it as "bacterial SSU rRNA". It matches the Rfam family "Bacterial small subunit ribosomal RNA", at positions 32 to 351 of the family's 1533-position model. Lineage: Bacteria; Pseudomonadati; Pseudomonadota. The record is from RNAcentral.